Molecule: unclassified non-coding RNA, 391 nt
Filed under: soil metagenome
Description: partial contains 5.8S ribosomal RNA, internal transcribed spacer 2, and large subunit ribosomal RNA
Rfam family: 5.8S ribosomal RNA (bases 1-122)
Source: RNAcentral
GAUGAAGAACGUAGCGAAAUGCGAUACUUGGUGUGAAUUGCAGAAUCCCGUGAACCAUCGAGUCUUUGAACGCAAGUUGCGCCCGAAGCCACUAGGCCGAGGGCACGCCUGCCUGGGCGUCACACGUCGUUGCCCCCCCAUCUACUCCUUCGGGAUUGCGGGGGGGCGGAUGAUGGCCUCCCGUGCGCCUAGCCGCGCGGUUGGCAUAAAUACCAAGUCCUCGGCGACGCACGCCACGACAAUCGGUGGUGGCGAAACCUCGGUUGCCCGUCGUGUGCGUUCGUCGCGCAUCGAGGGCUCGAAAAAAUGCUCGGCUCCGGCUGGGCUUUCAACGCGACCCCAGGUCAGGCGGGGUUACCCGCUGAAUUUAAGCAUAUCAAUAAGCGGAGGA